UAGGGAAUAUUGCACAAUGGGGAACCGUAGCAUGCAGCGACGCCGCGUGAAGGAAGAAGUAUCUCGGUAUGUAAACUUCUAUCAGCAGGGAAGACAAUGACGGUACCUGACUAAGAAGCCCGCUGAACUACGUGCCAGCCAAGCCGCGGCGUGAAUUAAUCGUAAGGGGGCCAAGGCGGGGUUCAAUUCCGGGAUUUUACUGGGUGUAAAGGGAGCGUAGACGGAUCUGCAAGUCUGGAGUGAAAGCCCGGGGCUCAACCCGGCACGUGCUUUGGAAACUGUGGAUCUGGAGUGCCGGAGAGGUAAGCGGAAUUCCUAGUGUAGCGGUGAAAUGCGUAGAUAUUAGGAGGAACACCAGUGGCGAAGGCGGCUUACUGGACGGUAACUGACGUUGAGGCUCGAAAGCGUGGGGAGCAAACAGGAUUAGAUACCC
Molecule: ribosomal RNA, 433 nt
Filed under: uncultured bacterium
Lineage: Bacteria
Description: bacterial SSU rRNA
Rfam family: Bacterial small subunit ribosomal RNA
Source: RNAcentral